RNAcentral lists this ribosomal RNA (433 nucleotides) under uncultured bacterium. Its description in RNAcentral is "partial 16S ribosomal RNA". It matches the Rfam family "Bacterial small subunit ribosomal RNA", at positions 29 to 507 of the family's 1533-position model. The record is from RNAcentral.
AACGAACGCUGGCGGCAUGCCUAACACAUGCAAGUCGAACGAGACCUUCGGGUCUAGUGGCGCACGGGUGCGUAACGCGUGGGAACGUGCCCUUAGGCUCGGAAUAAUUCCCUGAAAGGGGUGCUAAUACCGGAUAAUGUCUGCGGAUCAAAGAUUGAUCGCCUUUGGUUGGGCCCGCGAUGGUUUCGCUGGGUGGUAGUGUAAAAGCCUACCAAGGCGAGGAUACAUAGCUGGUUAGAGAGGAUGGGCCGCCACACUGGGGCUGGGACACGGCCCAGACUCCUGCAGGAUGGAGCAGAGGGGAAUAUUGGACAAUGGGGGAAGGCCUGAAGCCGCAAGGCCGGGAGAGUGAUGAAGGCCUGAGAGAUGUGAAGCUCUUUUACCCGGGAUGAUAAUGACGGUACCGAGAGAAUAAGCUCCGGCUAACUCCGUG